CACACCUGUCAGGUGGAUGGAUUAUCUUGGCAAAGGAGAAAUGCUCAUUAACAGGGAUGAAACAAAGAGAGAGAAUAAGCUUUUCGUGCUUAUGGAAAAAUUUUGGGAUUUUCAUUUCAGCUCAUGAAACAUGGGACCAACACUUUACAUGUUGUGUUUAUAUUUUUGUUCAGUGUAGUUAGUAUAGCUACUGUAACUAGUAUACUAGUUAGUUAGUGUAGCUACUGUAACAAGUAUACUUGUUAGUUUAGCUACUGUAACGAGUAUACUUGUAAGUUUAGCUACUGUAACGAUUAUACUUGUUAGUUUAGCUACUGUAACGAGUAUACUUGUUAGUUUAGCUACUGUAACGAGUAUACUUGUUAGUUUAGCUACUGUAACGAGUAUACUAGUUAAUCAUCACUGAUGAACACGACUCACACAGAUGUUUUAUUAUUGAUCACUAAACUGUUGGAUGUUAUGUGUUUUUAUAACCCAGUACCACAGAAAGAGUCAGUGUAGUAGUGUGUAGGCGAAUGUGUGUGUCAUAUUUCAUCUGGAGACACACUAACUAACCCUUCUUCAACUUAAGAGGCUCUACGUCUGGGGCGGUACUGAUUUUUAGUUUUUUUUUUAAACCUCAUCUCAUUCCUUUAUUUAGUAAUGUAAUUUUAAUUUAUAUGAAUUGUACGAACGUUAUGAUUCACAUUCCUGAAUGUUUUAAGUGAAAAAGGAAAAUGCAAUCUUGUCAUUGUGUUUUUUAUUGCCUGAAGUUUUGGAACACUGGAGAAGUAACAGCUCUAGUAUGUCUGAGUCCAAAAUGGGACCCUAAUGCCUAUGUACUGCUUUACGUAUGACCGGCUCCCAUCCCAUAGGGACAACAAGUAGUGCACUGUAUAGGGAAUACAGCCAUUUAGGACAGAGUCAUAUGGGUUUGUCAAGUAGGCCUAAGACCAAGUCUAGUACCGCACAGGUACAGAGUUGUGAAUUAGAGGAGCUAGGUCACCUCACUGUUUGGUGUUUUCACAUGUCAUUUGUCAUUGAUCAAAACGAGAAUAUUAAAGUGUUGACAGAUA
This is a non-coding RNA of Salvelinus sp. IW2-2015, 1055 nucleotides long. NCBI's taxonomy places the organism in Eukaryota, Metazoa, Chordata, Actinopteri, Salmoniformes, Salmonidae. The record is from RefSeq and is a predicted model, not a curated record.